UGGGGAAUAUUGGACAAUGGGCGAAAGCCUGAUCCAGCCAUGCCGCGUGUGUGAAGAAGGUCUUCGGAUUGUAAAGCACUUUAAGUUGGGAGGAAGGGCAUUAACCUAAUACGUUAGUGUUUUGACGUUACCGACAGAAUAAGCACCGGCUAACUCUGUGCCAGCAGCCGCGGUAAUACAGAGGGUGCAAGCGUUAAUCGGAAUUACUGGGCGUAAAGCGCGCGUAGGUGGUUUGUUAAGUUGGAUGUGAAAUCCCCGGGCUCGACCUGGGAACUGCAUUCAAAACUGACUGACUAGAGUAUGGUAGAGGGUGGUGGAAUUUCCUGUGUAGCGGUGAAAUGCGUAGAUAUAGGAAGGAACACCAGUGGCGAAGGCGACCACCUGGACUAAUACUGACACUGAGGUGCGAAAGCGUGGGGAGCAAACA
This 427-nucleotide ribosomal RNA is filed under the name uncultured bacterium. RNAcentral's name for it is "partial 16S ribosomal RNA". It matches the Rfam family "Bacterial small subunit ribosomal RNA", at positions 355 to 774 of the family's 1533-position model. The record is from RNAcentral.